AUGGGCAGCAGCAUGAAGAAUUUAAUGUUAUAUUGCAAAAUGUUUGUGAUUAGUUUAGAUGGGAGGUCAGUGUGAUAAAGGAGAAAAUCUAACAAUUAACUGUGCUGUUUGUUUUGUCAAAAUAUGCUGCCCAGCUCCAGAGUUUCCGAUUUUGGAGAAGCGGAAUUGGUUGAUACAUCUCCACUAUAUCCGGAACGAUUAUGAAGCAUGCAAGGCUGUUAUCAAAGAACAGCUUCAGGAGACCCAGGGGCUAUGUGAAUAUGCUAUCUAUGUCCAAGCACUGAUAUUUCGCCUGGAAGGAAAUAUUCAAGAAUCCCUAGAACUCUUUCAGACAUGUGCUGUUCUCAGCCCACAGAGUGCUGAUAACCUCAAGCAGGUGGCCAGGUCUUUAUUUCUUUUGGGGAAACAUAAAGCUGCCACUGAAGUAUAUAAUGAAGCAGCUAAACUUAACCAGAAAGACUGGGAGAUCUAUCAUAACCUAGGAGUUUGCUACAUUUAUCUGAAACAGUUCAACAAGGCACAAGACCAAUUGCACCAUGCCCUACAUCUUAAUAGGCAUGAUCUGACUUACAUAAUGCUGGGGAAGAUUCACUUGCUGGCGGGAGACUUGGACAAGGCCAUCGAAAUCUACAAGAAAGCUGUGGAGUUCUCACCAGAAAAUACAGAACUUCUUACAACUUUAGGAUUACUCUACUUACAGGUUGGCAUUUACCAGAAGGCAUUUGAACACCUCGGAAAAGCUCUAACUUAUGACCCUGUCAACUACAAGGCCAUCUUGGCAGCAGGCAGCAUGAUGCAGACCCAUGGAGACUUUGAUGUUGCCCUCACCAAAUACAGAGUUAUAGUUUCUGCUGUUCCAGAAAGUCCUCCACUUUGGAAUAACAUUGGAAUGUGUUUCUUUGGCAAGAAGAAAUAUGUAGCAGCUAUCAGCUGCCUAAAACGAGCCAACUACUUGGCACCCUUUGAUUGGAAGAUUCUCUAUAAUCUGGGCCUCGUUCACUUGACCAUGCAGCAGUAUGCAUCAGCUUUCCAUUUUCUCAGUGCAGCCAUCAACUUCCAGCCAAAGAUGGGGGAACUAUAUAUGCUCUUGGCGGUGGCUUUGACCAAUCUGGAAGAUACAGAGAAUGCCAAGAGAGCUUAUGCCAAAGCAGUCCGCCUGGAUAAGUAUAACCCUUUAGUCAACUUGAACUAUGCUGUGCUGCUAUACAACCAGGGUGAGAAGAGGGACGCCUUGGCCCAGUAUCAGGAGAUGGAGAAGAAAGUCAACCUACUCAAGGACAGUAGCUCUUUAGAAUAUGACUCUGAGAUGGUGGAGAUGGCUCAGAAGUUGGGAGCUGCUCUCCAGGUUGGGGAGGCACUGGUCUGGACAAAACCAGUUAAAGACCCCAAAUCAAAGCAACGGACAACUUCAACCAGCAAAGCUGUCAGUUUCCAGCAGCCUCUGGGCUCUAAUCAAGCUCUAGGACAGGCAAUGUCUUCAGCGGCUGCAUACAGCAAGCUACCCUCAGCAAUGUCCUGAGCACCUUUCACUUAGCUGGGACCUAAGGAGGCUGAAAUUCCAAGAGUCAAGCUGACUGCACUCCCUCACCCCUGCUGCCCACCGGUGGUUUCCAGGCACUUGGUCCAGAAGCAUUAGUCACAGCCCCUGGCACAGAGUGCUCACUCAGCACCUACUAAUCUGAUCCCAGUAGAGCAAGCAUGUCAAACUUGCAGCCCACAAUGAGUAUUUUGGCGGCCCAGCCAGUAUAACGAUAUGUAAGAAGCAUUAUAAUAAAAAUUUCGAAACUUGAUUUUUACAAUACCCUGCUAUACAUAAUUAUUAAUA
Myotis davidii is the source of this 1825-nucleotide RNA transcript. It is a transcript of the gene named Bardet-Biedl syndrome 4, with no coding region annotated. The record is from RefSeq and is a predicted model, not a curated record. Lineage: Eukaryota; Metazoa; Chordata; Mammalia; Chiroptera; Vespertilionidae. The transcript is spliced from 15 exons.